UCCGAAUUGGUGUAGUGGCCAACAUUUGACGCUCUCAUUUACAUUGCAAAAUGUAGAAAAGCACCGUCAAGCCCGGGGUUCGAUUCCCCGAUUCGGAG
Non-coding RNA from Xylaria longipes, 98 nucleotides. NCBI's taxonomy places the organism in Eukaryota, Fungi, Ascomycota, Sordariomycetes, Xylariales, Xylariaceae. The record is from the annotation of a GenBank genome assembly.